Molecule: unclassified non-coding RNA, 200 nt
Filed under: uncultured Peziza
Lineage: Eukaryota; Fungi; Ascomycota; Pezizomycetes; Pezizales; Pezizaceae
Description: sequence contains ITS1
Source: RNAcentral
UUGAUAGUUUUUAUUAUCAAAAACCCCUUUGUUUAUCAUUUACCAUGUUGCUUCCAUUGGACAGACCGGCAUUGUGUAUACAAGUUGGUCCUCUAGUUUUGUGUUUAUUUGUCACUAGCUAGGGAGCUGCCAGUGGAUAAAAUCCCAAUAAAACAUUCAUGAAGAAACAUAUAUUGUCUGAUUUAUUAGUACAAAAAAUA